Molecule: ribosomal RNA, 740 nt
Filed under: uncultured archaeon
Lineage: Archaea
Description: bacterial SSU rRNA
Rfam family: Archaeal small subunit ribosomal RNA
Source: RNAcentral
UUCCGGUUGAUCCCGCCGGACCCGACUGCUACCAGAGUGGGACUAAGCCAUGCGAGUCAACAUAGCAAUAUGUGGCAUACGGCUCAGUAACACGUAGUCAACAUGCCCAGGGGACGUGGAUAACCUCGGGAAACUGAGGAUAAACCGCGAUAGGUCAUCACUUCUGGAAUGGGUAAUGACUUAAAUCUAUAUGGCCCCUGGAUUGGACUGCGGCCGAUCAGGCUGUUGGUGAGGUAAUGGCCCACCAAACCUGUAACCGGUACGGGCUCUGAGAGGAGGAGCCCGGAGAUGGGCACUGAGACAAGGGCCCAGGCCCUAUGGGGCGCAGCAGGCGCGAAACCUCUGCAAUAGGCGAAAGCUUGACAGGGUUACUCUGAGUGAUUUCCGUUAAGGAGAUCUUUUGGCACCUCUAAAAAUGGUGCAGAAUAAGGGGUGGGCAAGUCUGGUGUCAGCCGCCGCGGUAAUACCAGCACCCCGAGUGGUCGGGACGUUUAUUGGGCCUAAAGCAUCCGUAGCCGGUUCUACAAGUCUUCCGUUAAAUCCACCUGCUUAACAGAUGGGCUGCGGAAGAUACUAUAGAGCUAGGAGGCGGGAGAGGCAAGCGGUACUCGAUGGGUAGGGGUAAAAUCCGUUGAUCCAUUGAAGACCACCAGUGGCGAAGGCGGCUUGCCAGAACGCGCUCGACGGUGAGGGAUGAAAGCUGGGGGAGCAAACCGGAUUAGAUACCCGGGUAGUCCCAG